AUGGGUUUCUCAAUUCUUUGAAACUAAAGAGCUACGACACUACAGCAGUAAUUGUCCUACAUCUUUCCCUCAAAUAAUUUUUUUUUUUACACUCUGUGGAAGGCUACCAAACGAUGACAGCAACACUUUGUCUACUCUUCAAUUGGGAAUGGAAGGUUAUUGCAUCCACAGUAGCAACCAUCCCAAGUGUCUCCCUCAAAUGAUGUUUUGUCAGUAGGAAGUAGAAGGUUGCCUAAAAUAAGAUAGCAACCCUCCCAUACCCCCGAUGAGAGACCAAACAUGGUUUCUUACAUGAUGUUUUAAGAAAUUGAAAAGUUGCCAGAUUUUGGCCAUCAACUUUCUAGCAAACUAAUGAGGG
RNAcentral lists this long non-coding RNA (358 nucleotides) under Elaeis guineensis (African oil palm). RNAcentral describes it as "long non-coding RNA (EGUI_LNC061648)". Lineage: Eukaryota; Viridiplantae; Streptophyta; Magnoliopsida; Arecales; Arecaceae. The record is from RNAcentral.